Molecule: non-coding RNA, 45 nt
Organism: Schistosoma curassoni
Lineage: Eukaryota; Metazoa; Platyhelminthes; Trematoda; Strigeidida; Schistosomatidae
Source: Rfam
AUUCAACUGACGAGUCCCAAAUGGGACGAAACUCGCGUCCUAGAU